AUUGAACGCUGGCGGCAGGCCUAACACAUGCAAGUCGAGCGGAUGAAGGGAGCUUGCUCCUGGAUUCAGCGGCGGACGGGUGAGUAAUGCCUAGGAAUCUGCCUGGUAGUGGGGGAUAACGUCCGGAAACGGGCGCUAAUACCGCAUACGUCCUGAGGGAGAAAGUGGGGGAUCUUCGGACCUCACGCUAUCAGAUGAGCCUAGGUCGGAUUAGCUAGUUGGUGGGGUAAAGGCCUACCAAGGCGACGAUCCGUAACUGGUCUGAGAGGAUGAUCGGUCACACGGGAACUGGGACACGGUCCAGACUCCUACGGGAGGCAGCAGUGGGGAAUAUUGGACAAUGGGCGAAAGCCUGAUCCAGCCAUGCCGCGUGUGUGAAGAAGGUCUUCGGAUUGUAAAGCACUUUAAGUUGGGAGGAAGGGCAGUAAGUUAAUACCUUGCUGUUUUGACGUUACCAACAGAAUAAGCACCGGCUAACUUCGUG
Molecule: ribosomal RNA, 484 nt
Filed under: uncultured bacterium
Lineage: Bacteria
Description: partial 16S ribosomal RNA
Rfam family: Bacterial small subunit ribosomal RNA
Source: RNAcentral